CACUUUGAGGCAGGAUGAUGAUCUGAUUGUGGAGCCUUAUAGCCCUCACCGAUUUAGUCGACAAUUUGGGUAUUGUCAAGAUGUUCCUGGUGUUCUCAUAGAGCACUAUUAUGAUGGUUCACUUCUAGCUUUGGUGCAACUAUGGGAUUCAUGUGUUCAUCUUGGAAACUCUUCGAAGAUCAUCAUACCAAUGCGUCCAUGCAAUAAGGGGUCUCCAAUGACUCGUGAGUACUCAGAUUAGUGGCCAUCCCAUCGAUAGAAUGUGUUGAGACGAAGUACCUACAUAAUUUUGAGAGGUCCGAGGAAGGAUAAUGCUUCCUUAUCAACCAAAGGAGAUCAACUUCAGCUGGAUAGUCAAGGAAAGCCCUCUGACUCUUCAAAGUCCAAGGCGACAAAGGGUAUUUCUUCGCAAUCUGUCAAAGUCGUUUCCAAGUCUAAAAAUUCGAAGGGCAAGGAUACACAGGUGAAUAAAGGAGUCAAAAGUCCAUCACUGACCCCCAAGGCAGCCAUCGUUACUGAAUCUGAGGUGAUCGACAUAACUCACAAGAGGAAGAAACCUUCCAGCUCAUCAGACAAAAGCGUCGAAAAGGCACUAGGCAUUGUGCCAUUUUGCAGCAGCACAUCCAAACCACCUGCUUUAAUCCCUGGGAUUGGCAUUAGUACUAGUGCAGCCUCUAGUUCCAAUGAGAGCAAUGCUAGCCAAGAGCAACAUUGGAAGCGUUUGAAGAAAAAGCCUAAGGAUUUGAACGAUCAACAUUGUGAGUUCGCUGAUUUAGAUUCCAUUAGUAUUGAUUCCGCGAUCUUUGAAGAUGGCGCUGCUGGUUCUACAAUGCCUUUGACUGAAUUGGCACAUCAGUGAUGUAGAUGUAUUUGAAGAUUGUAUCAUAAGCUCGAACCCUCCUAAUGUGGCUAAGAGUCUUCACCUCCCACUUGCUGAAGUCAAGGGUCAAUUUACAAAUGAGAGUCCAUCGAGAAAGUUAACGGUUCCUUUUUCUGAAAAGGUUGGAACUUCCCAACACGUCUCAACUAAUAAUGUGGAGGUUAGGGCACAUUGGAUUGGAUGUUCAAACAUUUCAAAGGACUUGCUCCACCCUUUCCAAUCGAUUGCCUCAAAUUUUGAACCACAAGAGACUAUUUCAAGCUUCAAAUUAUAUUAUGUUUCCGGCAUGUGGGGUACCUUAUGCGAGUGUAUUACACAAUUCUCUGUUUACUCCUCAGAAAGUCUCAAAGAGUUGGAGACAGGUGCUGCCUUGAAUCUUAAAGGACUUCAAGAAGUUAACGUCAUCGACCUUUCUCCCUUGAAGGUUCUGCUUGAAGACUUUUUUAAGAAACAUGGAGAUUACGAUGCUGCAAGGUUGUCUACUUCUCAAAAGAUAACCAAAGAUUCUCAUGAAGAGUUACUUUCUGAUGCAUAACAAUGCCUUGAUACUGCGAACCAGGAGAAAGUCAAGAUGGACAAACACCUGGAAGAGCUUCAAAAAAUCCUUACAAGAGCUGAAAAGAGCUAGAAGUCUGGACUUCUAAGAAGAAAAAAACCAUCUCACUUAUAGAGGAGCAUCAAAAGAGGUUGUCCGAAAAUCAAAAGAGUAUCACUAACAGAGAAGAUGAGAUUCAUGCCAUUGAGAAAAUCAGUCCCUUGUCUGAAGCAGAAGUAAAAGAACUAGCUAGGCUAAAGGAGGACGCUGAGACAAGUCGCCACCAAAUCCUUAGUCAUAAGUUUUUUCCUUAGUCUUUUGUCCUGCAUAAGAACGUUCUCUUUCUUUUCCUUGUUAUGUUUUUGUAUUUUUCGAUAUAUUAUUAUGAUGUAGUGACAAUCUUCUUCUUUUUUUUGAUGAAAUAAAAGCGACAUCUUUCCCUUAAAA
This is a long non-coding RNA of Solanum dulcamara, 1862 nucleotides long. RefSeq lists it as uncharacterized. The record is from RefSeq and is a predicted model, not a curated record. NCBI's taxonomy places the organism in Eukaryota, Viridiplantae, Streptophyta, Magnoliopsida, Solanales, Solanaceae. The transcript is spliced from 2 exons.